GACGAACGCUGGCGGCGCGCUUAACACAUGCAAGUCGAACGGAAAGGCCUGCUUUCCCUUGUGGAUUGCGGGUACUCGAGUGGCGAACGGGUGAGUAACACGUGAGUGAUCUGCCCCCAACUUGGGUAUAAGCCUGGGAAACUGGGUCUAAUUCCCGAUAGGACUGCAGGGUGGUGCCUGUGGUGGAAAACGAUUUUCUAGUGGUUGGGGAUGAGCUCGCGGCCUAUCAGCUUGUUGGUGGGGUAAUGGCCUACCAAGGCGGCGACGGGUAGCCGGCCUGAGAGGGUGGACGGCCACAUUGGGACUGGGACACGGCCCAGACUCCUACGGGAGGCAGCAGUGGGGAAUAUUGCACAAUGGGCGGAAGCCAGAUGCAGCGACGCCGCGUGGGGGAUGACGGCCUUCGGGUUGUAAACUCCUUGCGACCGCGAGGAAGCCACCUGGUUGGAAGGGUGGUGACGGUAGUGGUAGAAGAAGCACCGGCUAACUACGUG
RNAcentral lists this ribosomal RNA (494 nucleotides) under uncultured bacterium. RNAcentral describes it as "partial 16S ribosomal RNA". It matches the Rfam family "Bacterial small subunit ribosomal RNA", at positions 28 to 507 of the family's 1533-position model. The record is from RNAcentral.